RNAcentral lists this ribosomal RNA (335 nucleotides) under uncultured bacterium. Its description in RNAcentral is "partial 16S ribosomal RNA". It matches the Rfam family "Bacterial small subunit ribosomal RNA", at positions 338 to 665 of the family's 1533-position model. The record is from RNAcentral.
CCUACGGGAGGCUGCAGUGGGGAAUAUUGCGCAAUGCUCGUAAGAGUGACGCAGCGACGCCGCGUGAAUGACGAAGGCCUUCGGGUCGUUACGUUCCUUCGACAGGGAAGAAAAUGCCUAUAAGUAACUGUGUAUGUGUUGACGGUACCUGUAUAAGCAGCCCCGGCUAACUCCGUGCCAGCAGCCGCGGUAAUACGGAGGGGGCGUGAGCUGUUCAGAGUGAGUGGGUGUAAAGAGAACGUAGGCGGUGUUGUAAGUCAUUAGUCACAGAGUAGAGCUCAACUUUAGUAAGGCUAGUGAUACUAUAAUACUGAAGUAUCAGAGAGGAUGUCAGA